UAACACAUGCAAGUCGAGCGAAGCACUUUGCUUUGAUUUCUUCGGGAUGAAGAGCUUGGUGACUGAGCGGCGGACGGGUGAGUAACGCGUGGGUAACCUGCCUCAUACAGGGGGAUAACAGUUAGAAAUGACUGCUAAUACCGCAUAAGACCACAGCACCGCAUGGUGCAGGGGUAAAAACUCCGGUGGUAUGAGAUGGACCCGCGUCUGAUUAGUUAGUUGGUGGGGUAACGGCCUACCAAGGCGACGAUCAGUAGCCGACCUGAGAGGGUGACCGGCCACAUUGGGACUGAGACACGGCCCAAACUCCUACGGGAGGCAGCAGUGGGGAAUAUUGCACAAUGGGGGAAACCCUGAUGCAGCGACGCCGCGUGAGCGAAGAAGUAUUUCGGUAUGUAAAGCUCUAUCAGCAGGGAAGAAAAUGACGGUACCUGACUAAGAAGCCCCGGCUAACUACGUGCCACCAGCCGCGGUAAUACGUAGGGGGCAAGCGUUAUCCGGAUUUACUGGGUGUAAAGGGAGCGUAGACGGAGCAGCAAGUCUGAUGUGAAAACCCGGGGCUCAACCCCGGGACUGCAUUGGAAACUGUUGAUCUGGAGUGCCGGAGAGGUAAGCGGAAUUCCUAGUGUAGCGGUGAAAUGCGUAGAUAUUAGGAGGAACACCAGUGGCGAAGGCGGCUUACUGGACGG
This 689-nucleotide ribosomal RNA is filed under the name uncultured organism. RNAcentral describes it as "SSU rRNA". It matches the Rfam family "Bacterial small subunit ribosomal RNA", at positions 49 to 736 of the family's 1533-position model. The record is from RNAcentral.